UACGUAGGGGGCGAGCGUUGUCCGGAAUUACUGGGCGUAAAGGGCGCGUAGGCGGUUUAGCAAGUCGUCUGUGAAAUACCAGGGCUUAACCCUGGGGGUGCAGACGAAACUGCAAGACUUGAGUGCGGUAGAGGUAAGUGGAAUUCCUAGUGUAGCGGUGAAAUGCGUAGAUAUUAGGAGGAACACCAGUGGCGAAGGCGACUUACUGGGCCGUAACUGACGCUGAGGCGCGAAAGCGUGGGGAGCAAACAGG
This 253-nucleotide ribosomal RNA is filed under the name uncultured bacterium. RNAcentral's name for it is "partial 16S ribosomal RNA". It matches the Rfam family "Bacterial small subunit ribosomal RNA", at positions 524 to 776 of the family's 1533-position model. The record is from RNAcentral.